Molecule: small RNA, 951 nt
Filed under: Pan troglodytes (chimpanzee)
Lineage: Eukaryota; Metazoa; Chordata; Mammalia; Primates; Hominidae
Description: retained intron
Source: RNAcentral
UUUUCCUUCAGUUUCCUAUAUGAGUUAUUUAAGGAUUUAGAUGGUUUUAUGAGCCACUUAGUAUUUACAACCCUUCUUAAUUGUACCCUCUUCCUCACAGGGGAACAUUUGCCUAAAUCUUUGGAAGGAUUUUUUAUCUAUGAAGAAGAAGGUUCUGGAGUUCCAGGUUCUAGUAGGAAAGGAAAUGAUGCCAUCGUAGUAGAACAAUGGACUGUUAUUGAGGGAUGUGAAAUCAAAACAGAUUAUGGCCCUCUGCUGCACACUCUGGCUGAAUUCGGAUGGCUUCUGACAAGUGUGUUGCCCACACCUGUAUUGAGACAUGACAGUGAAGGGAAUUUGGCUACAAAGCAGAUCGUAUUCCUUCAGAGGCCAGUUAUGUGGAAUUCAGCUGCUCAAACACCAGAUAAGAAAGCCAGCCGCCACAUAAAAGGUGAAGACAAGAAUAAAGCCACUAGUAGAAGCAUCGGAUUAGACACAACCUCGUCACAACCUGCAGAGAGCAGACACCCGCCUGAGGAGUGCCGCCUUUCUCCCUCCCGGGAAUGCUGGACAAAGGAGGGAAGGCUGGCACAGCACAACAGCUUCUCUGGGUUCAGCAGCAGUGACAGCGUCCUCCGGGAAUUAGACGACGGACAGUUUGAUCAGGAAGAUGGAGUGACUCAGGUCACUUGUAUGUGAGCCGUGAGGUGAAGCAAAGGAAGGCCCUGUAAAUAAUUGUUAAAAUCAUUGCCAACUGACCUUAUUGUAUUGCUUUCUCUGCAUUUAUGUAAUAUUUUUGAAUUUUUCCAGACCCAGCCUUUCCUUUAAUCUAUGUGAACUUUGGCACAACCUCCCAGACAAGGAAGAAUAACCAACAUAUUUAUACAUUUAGAAUCAUGUUUACACUUCUCUCAACUAAAACAUCUGGUUAAACAGAUGUUCCAUUCAGUUAUUACACAAUAAUCUAUUUCA